UGGGGAAUAUUGCACAAUGGGCGCAAGCCUGAUGCAACAACGCCGCGUGAACGAUGAAGGUCUUCGGAUCGUAAAGUUCUGUUGCAGGGGAAGAUAAUGACGGUACCCUGUGAGGAAGCCCCGGCUAACUACGUGCCAGCAGCCGCGGUAAUACGUAGGGGGCUAGCGUUAUCCGGAUUUACUGGGCGUAAAGGGUGCGUAGGUGGUCUUUCAAGUCGGUGGUUAAAGGCUACGGCUCAACCGUAGUUAGCCUCCGAAACUGGAAGACUUGAGUGCAGGAGAGGAAAGUGGAAUUCCCAGUGUAGCGGUGAAAUGCGUAGAUAUUGGGAGGAACACCAGUAGCGAAGGCGGCUUUCUGGACUGCAACUGACACUGAGGCACGAAAGCGUGGGUAGCAAACAGG
Molecule: ribosomal RNA, 403 nt
Filed under: Verrucomicrobiota bacterium
Lineage: Bacteria; Pseudomonadati; Verrucomicrobiota
Description: Verrucomicrobia bacterium partial 16S ribosomal RNA
Rfam family: Bacterial small subunit ribosomal RNA
Source: RNAcentral